This 921-nucleotide long non-coding RNA is filed under the name Setaria viridis. Its description in RNAcentral is "long non-coding RNA (SVIR_LNC004885)". The record is from RNAcentral. Lineage: Eukaryota; Viridiplantae; Streptophyta; Magnoliopsida; Poales; Poaceae.
UGGUUUAGGUGCGGGUGAGACCUAGGGUUUUAGAUGUGCUUGGUGUCUUGGACCCAAUAUAGAUAUAUAAAAGGUUGGACCCUUUUACUUCAUGUACCAGAUGGGCACUAGCAUGUGAAGUUAGGUAUAUAUAUGAUCCCUAACCUGGCUCAUCUCAAGACCCGAACCGUGCCCGGCACCCCUAAUGACGGGUUGGAUUUUAUACCUAUUCCCACUCCCAGACCCAUUGGGUGCGAAACCCACGAUUUCAUCCCUAGUAAAGGCUAACAACACUAAAUGAUUAGAAGUGACCACCAAACCAGAACAAAGGAUAAGUUAAAUUUUUGUAAUAAGCAAGUCUUAACUAUACUAUAAAAGGUUUUACUCCCACCAUCCUACAUAAAUUACAUCUUACAUGACUCUACCACCGAAUUCAUGGUGAUUUAAUAAUUUGCCCAGGUCAGAUCCCACCAAAGAUGUAAGAGAUGUGAGUUCUUGUCAUCAUCAUAAUAUAUAGCUCACACUGAAGAUUAGAAGUAACCACAAACCAGAAUAGAUGAUAAAUUUACUUGUACUGAUAGACUUCUUCGCAAUUAUACGGGGAAUUCAAUCACCAAUUAUUUGUCAAAAACAUAUUUUAAACUGAAAUUUGUAUAAUAGAUAUGUCAAAAACAUUUAUAAAAAUGAUGAACAAAAGGAUAAUGAUUUCCAUAGGAUGGUUAUUUGAGGACAGGCCUGUAAAAAUACUUUUAGAUAUGGGCUAUGAAAAUAAUUGCACACGUGGGCCUUUUGUGCUCUGCCCAAAUACCUCGCCAACCUCCCCAAACCCUUGUCUCAAAUCAUGCAAUCGGUCAUACCACCAUCACUCAUCCAACACGUUGUGCCCUAUCCUUAACCCGCAUCUUGUGGCCUGGCCAUCUUGAACUGUCGUCGUCACAGUUG